CCUACGGGUGGCAGCAGUGAGGAAUAUUGGUCAAUGGGCGGGAGCCUGAACCAGCCAAGCCGAGUGAGGGAAGAAGGUACAGCGUAUCGUAAACCUCUUUUGUCAGGGAACAAAGGCGGGGACUAGUCCCCGGAUGAGGGUACCUGAAGAAAAAGCAUCGGCUAACUCCGUGCCGGCAGCCGUGGUAAGACGGAGGAUGCGAGCGUUAUCCGGAUUUAUUGGGUUUAAAGGGUGCGCGGGCGGCCUGUUAAGUCAGCGGGAAAAUCCCGAGGCGAAACCCCGGCGAGCCGUUGAUACUGGCGGGCUGGAGUUGGAGAGAGGUACGCGGAAUGCGAGGUGUAGCGGUGAAAUGCUUAGAGAUCGCGCAGAACCCCGAUUGCGAAGGCAGCGUACCGGCUCCACACUGACGCUGAGGCACGAAAGCGUGGGUAUCGAACAGGAUUAGAUACCCCGGUAGUC
RNAcentral lists this ribosomal RNA (459 nucleotides) under uncultured bacterium. Its description in RNAcentral is "partial 16S ribosomal RNA". It matches the Rfam family "Bacterial small subunit ribosomal RNA", at positions 338 to 795 of the family's 1533-position model. The record is from RNAcentral.